AGUGAACGCUGGCGGUAGGCCUAACACAUGCGAGUCGAACGGCAGCACAGUAAGAGCUUGCUCUUACGGGUGGCGAGUGGCGGACGGGUGAGGAAUACAUCGGAAUCUACUUUUUCGUGGGGGAUAACGUAGGGAAACUUACGCUAAUACCGCAUACGACCUACGGGUGAAAGCAGGGGAUCUUCGGACCUUGCGCGAUUGAAUGAGCCGAUGUCGGAUUAGCUAGUUGGCGGGGUAAAGGCCCACCAAGGCGACGAUCCGUAGCUGGUCUGAGAGGAUGAUCAGCCACGCUGGAACUGAGACACGGUCCAGACUCCUACGGGAGGCAGCAGUGGGGAAUAGUGGACAAUGGGCGCAAGCCUGAUCCAGCCAUACCGCGUGGGUGAAGAAGGCCUUCGGGUUGUAAAGCCCUUUUGUUGGGAAAGAAGAGCAGCAGGUUAAUACCCCGCUGUUCUGACGGUACCCAAAGAAUAAGCACCGGCUAACUUCG
This 490-nucleotide ribosomal RNA is filed under the name uncultured bacterium. RNAcentral describes it as "partial 16S ribosomal RNA". It matches the Rfam family "Bacterial small subunit ribosomal RNA", at positions 29 to 505 of the family's 1533-position model. The record is from RNAcentral.